CAGUAGCCACGGUAAUACAGAGGGUGCGAGCGUUAAUCGGAUUUACUGGGCGUAAAGCGUGCGUAGGCGGCUUCUUAAGUCGGAUGUGAAAUCCCUGAGCUUAACUUAGGAAUUGCAUUCGAUACUGGGAAGCUAGAGUAUGGGAGAGGAUGGUAGAAUUCCAGGUGUAGCGGUGAAAUGCGUAGAGAUCUGGAGGAAUACCGAUGGCGAAGGCAGCCAUCUGGCCUAAUACUGACGCUGAGGUACGAAAGCAUGGGGAGCAAACAGGAUUGAUACCCGCGUAGUCCCUGUCUCUUAUACA
This 301-nucleotide ribosomal RNA is filed under the name uncultured bacterium. RNAcentral describes it as "partial 16S ribosomal RNA". It matches the Rfam family "Bacterial small subunit ribosomal RNA", at positions 509 to 808 of the family's 1533-position model. The record is from RNAcentral.